This 256-nucleotide ribosomal RNA is filed under the name uncultured bacterium. RNAcentral's name for it is "partial 16S ribosomal RNA". It matches the Rfam family "Bacterial small subunit ribosomal RNA", at positions 524 to 777 of the family's 1533-position model. The record is from RNAcentral.
UACGGAGGGGGCUAGCGUUUGUUCGGAAUUACUGGGCGUAAAGCGCGCGUAGGCGGACCUGCAAGUCGGGGGGUGAAAGCCCGAGGCUCAACCUCGGAACUGCCUUCGAUACUGCGGGUCUCGAGUCCGGGAGAGGUGAGUGGAAUUCCUAGUGUAGAGGUGAAAUUCGUAGAUAUUAGGAAGAACACCAGUGGCGAAGGCGGCUCACUGGCCCGGUACUGACGCUGAGGCGCGAAAGCGUGGGGAGCAAACAGGG